AAUGAAAUGAGAGCAGAAGUGAAGGCCUCACUUCUGAACUGAAGCAGUUAAGAGCAGCAAGCUGAACAACCACCCACUCUCUGCUCUGCGCUCCUCUACUCGUUGAAGAAGAGUCCCUUUGAGCUCAGAAAAAGUUGAGAAUCUAGCUAUUCAAAGGCUGAAUGAAGGAACCGAGGACUGAAGAAUGCAGAACUGGUGAAUGCGAAGCACUGGGAUUGGCAGUUGGGUGAAUCUGCAAAUGCAGAACUGGACGUGGAGGGCUGUUUGGACCUGCAGGAGCCCACCAGUUGGACUCAAAGAAACUGGUCACGUGGGGACUUGAAGAAUUGUGGAGUACAGAUUCUCUCUAAAGGGAUGGAUGCAAUGGGGUUCCAGCAGAUUGUUGCCAUGUGGAAUGCAAAUCCAGGAUCACUGGGUCUUCUGACUUCUCAAGAGAUACUUCAAAUACAGAUUUUAUAUGAAAUCUGAAUUUUAAAUGCUGGCAACUAAUUACAUUUAAACAGUGUUUGUGGGCCAAACAAAGAACAUGUGCUUGUGCAUAUGAUGUCUUGAAACCAGCUUGCAGCCCUCAGGGACUUGUGGGGUGGACGUGUGCCUCUUUCCUAAGUAAUUACCCAUGGGGGGGAAAUAUGUAAUCAUUUUGGAAUUGCUAUUGAACCAGUGCAAGUUCAUCAACUCAGCUCUAUAAAU
This is a long non-coding RNA of Bos taurus (domestic cattle), 690 nucleotides long. The record is from Ensembl. NCBI's taxonomy places the organism in Eukaryota, Metazoa, Chordata, Mammalia, Artiodactyla, Bovidae.